This 327-nucleotide unclassified non-coding RNA is filed under the name soil metagenome. RNAcentral's name for it is "partial contains 5.8S ribosomal RNA, internal transcribed spacer 2, and large subunit ribosomal RNA". The stretch from base 1 to 120 matches the Rfam family "5.8S ribosomal RNA", at positions 35 to 154 of the family's 154-position model. The record is from RNAcentral.
GUUGAAGAACGUAGCGAAAUGCGAUAAGUAGUGUGAAUUGCAGAAUUCAGUGAAUCAUCGAAUCUUUGAACGCACAUUGCGCCCCUUGGUAUUCCGAGGGGCAUGCCUGUUCGAGCGUCAUUAUCACCCCUCAAGCUUUGCUUGGUGUUGGGGCCUGCUGUAAUAGGCAGCCCUUAAAAUCAGUGGCGGUGCUUCAAGGCUCUAAGCGUAGUAAUUCUCCUCGCUAUAGUGUCUAGUGGUUGCCAGCCAGAACCCCCCAAUUUUCAUGAUUGACCUCGGAUCAGGUAGGGAUACCCGCUGAACUUAAGCAUAUCAAUAAGCGGAGGA